AAAUACAGCAAAAGCAGUAAUAUUGAGAAAUUGUUACUGUUUAAAACAGCUGUUUUCUAUGUGAAUAUCUGUUAAAAUGUAAUUUAUUUCUCUGUAUUUUCAGCAACAUUACUCCAGUCUUCAGUGUCACAUGAUCUUCAGAAAUCAUUCUAAUAUGAUGAUUUGCUGCUCAAGAAACAAAAUAGUAUUAUAAUAUGAAUGUAUAAUAAAUAAUAAUAAUAAUAAUAAUAAUAAUAAUAAUAAUAANAUAGUAUUAUAAUAUUAAUGUAUAAUAAAUAAUAAUAAUAAUAAUAAUAAUAAUAAAUGUUUUUGUCGGCAGCUAGAGGUCGCGCAAAUCAAAGCUGGCGCACAAAUAAGCAUGAUAUCAAUUAUUAACUAUUUGACGUUGUUUUUUCUUCUCCAGUAAAUAAUAAUCAUAUAGAGCUAUUAUAUUGGUUAUUACUCUAUCGCCGGCGGUUAUUACACUGAUAACACACUAGAUCUCUACAAAUACAUCAGAGCUGAUUACGUUUUGGGGGGUGGGGGGGUUAGUUUGUGACGUAAAAGCUCAUCAGUAUUGGUAUAAAAGCUCCAGCAGCAACCGGCGUCUCCCUUUAGUUCAACACACCUGCGUGCCUCCAUCAGCCUCACUCUUCAUCAUCCUCCUCCUCCUCUUCAUCACCAGGAUGGCUCAGCCGACCCCCGCCGGAGUCAUUUUCUGCGCUUUCUGCUUAAUCACUCAGGUUUUAUCCCAGAACACGAUGUCUCCGAUCAACUCCACCGCGCUGGCGGGAAACCAGACGGUGAACGCGAACGACACCCUGGCGACUAACGCGAACACCGCAGCGGCGAACGCCACCACCACCGCUCCGGCGGGAGCCGGCGUUCUGACGCAGGCCAGCGUGCUCAACGUGCUUGUUCCCAUCGCCAUGGCAACCGGCCUCCUGCAGCGCUGGUGCUGAGCGUUCACCGUUCUGCACCGCAUCAUCUCCACCUGUAGCUUUACCAUCACUCAAAUAUCUGCAAGGUCUGGUCGCUUCAUCAGAACGCUCUGGAGAACGCUUUAGCCCUGAAGUAGAAGAACGGAUGGAUGACGACAUUUCAAACGGCUUGCGUUCCCAAACCCAAACAUCCGAUUUAAAUUAUUUUUUUUUUUUUUGCAUUGCUGAGCCUUCAAACGCACAUCUGACAUUGAACGGUUUUAGCUGAACGGCCGGAUUGCGCAAACCGUUCCGAGCCGUUCUAAACUAAACAGGCUCUUUCAUUGGUCACGUGGUGGUUUAUACCAGUUUCAGGUGGAUUGCAUCUAUAUUUGCCCACUUUAGUUAUCAAUCAAACUGUUAGUCGUUCAUUGGGAUGAGGUGGACUCUUUGUAAUACUGUUUUUCUCUUGCAUAGUUUAUAUUUUGUACAAAUCGAAAUGUUUUAAUGUUUGUAACAUGAGUACAUGACAAUAAACAAUGUAGAAUUGAACCA
Molecule: long non-coding RNA, 1454 nt
Organism: Cyprinus carpio (common carp)
Lineage: Eukaryota; Metazoa; Chordata; Actinopteri; Cypriniformes; Cyprinidae
Source: Ensembl